RNAcentral lists this ribosomal RNA (164 nucleotides) under Impatiens glandulifera. RNAcentral's name for it is "5.8S ribosomal RNA". It matches the Rfam family "5.8S ribosomal RNA". From Rfam's summary of the family: 5.8S ribosomal RNA (5.8S rRNA) is a component of the large subunit of the eukaryotic ribosome. It is transcribed by RNA polymerase I as part of the 45S precursor that also contains 18S and 28S rRNA. Lineage: Eukaryota; Viridiplantae; Streptophyta; Magnoliopsida; Ericales; Balsaminaceae. The record is from RNAcentral.
AUAACGACUCUCGACAACGGAUAUCUCGGCUCUCGCAUCGAUGAAGAACGUAGCAAAAUGCGAUACUUGGUGUGAAUUGCAGAAUCCCGUGAACCAUCGAGUUUUUGAACGCAAGUUGCGCCUAAAGCCAUUAGGUUGAGGGCACGUCUGCCUGGGCGUCUCGC